CAACUUUCGAUGGUAGGAUAGAGGCCUACUAUGGUGGUAACGGGUAACGGGGUGUUAGGGCACAACACCGGAGAGGGAGCCUGAGAAACGGCUACCACAUCCAAGGAUGGCAGCAGGCGCGCAAAUUACCCAAUCCCAACACGGGGAGGUAGUGACAAUAAAUAACAAUACGGGGUUCUUUCAGAUUUCGUAAUUGGAAUGAGUACAAUUUAAAUCUCUUAACGAGGAACAAUUGGAGGGCAAAUCUGGUGCCAGCAGCCGCGGUAAUUCCAGCUCCAAUAGCGUAUAUUAAAGUUGCUGCAGUUAAAAAGCUCGUAGUUGAAUUUCGGGACCAAUAUGUCAGUCGUGCCUCAGUACGUACUGGCAUCGUUGGUUUCUCCCUUCUGAAGAACCAUGAUGUCAUUUAUUUGGUGUCGUGGGAAAUCAGGAAUGUUACUUUGAAAAAAUUAGUGUUUAAAGCAGGCUUACGCUUGAAUACAUUAGCAUGGAAUAAUGAAAUAGGACGUUUGAUUCUAUUUUGUUGGUUUCUAGGAUCGACGUAAUGAUUAAUAGGGAUAGUUGGGGGCAUUAGUAUUCAAUUGUCAGAGGUGAAAUUCUUGGAUUUAUUGAAGACUAACUACUGCGAAAGCAUUUGCCAAGGAUGUUUUCAUUAAUCAAGAACGAAAGUUAGGGGAUCGAAGACGAUCAGAUACCGUCGUAGUCUUAACUAUAAACUAUGCCGACUAGGGAUCGAAUGAUGUUAAUUUUUUAAUGACUCAUUCGGCGCCUUACGGGAAACCAAAGUGUUUGGGUUC
RNAcentral lists this ribosomal RNA (794 nucleotides) under uncultured Glomus. RNAcentral's name for it is "SSU rRNA". It matches the Rfam family "Eukaryotic small subunit ribosomal RNA", at positions 316 to 1114 of the family's 1831-position model. Lineage: Eukaryota; Fungi; Glomeromycota; Glomeromycetes; Glomerales; Glomeraceae. The record is from RNAcentral.